Molecule: transfer RNA, 73 nt
Filed under: Bos taurus (domestic cattle)
Lineage: Eukaryota; Metazoa; Chordata; Mammalia; Artiodactyla; Bovidae
Also listed under: 2 other names
Rfam family: tRNA
About the family: Transfer RNA (tRNA) molecules are approximately 80 nucleotides in length. Their secondary structure includes four short double-helical elements and three loops (D, anti-codon, and T loops). Further hydrogen bonds mediate the characteristic L-shaped molecular structure. tRNAs have two regions of fundamental functional importance: the anti-codon, which is responsible for specific mRNA codon recognition, and the 3' end, to which the tRNAs corresponding amino acid is attached (by aminoacyl-tRNA synthetases). tRNAs cope with the degeneracy of the genetic code in two manners: having more than one tRNA (with a specific anti-codon) for a particular amino acid; and 'wobble' base-pairing, i.e. permitting non-standard base-pairing at the 3rd anti-codon position.
Source: Rfam by way of RNAcentral
UCCCCAGCAGUCUAGUGGUUAGGACUCUGCACUCUCACUGCAGGGGACACGGGUUCAAACCCUGCUCUGGGAA